Molecule: ribosomal RNA, 478 nt
Filed under: uncultured bacterium
Lineage: Bacteria
Description: partial 16S ribosomal RNA
Rfam family: Bacterial small subunit ribosomal RNA
Source: RNAcentral
GACGAACGCUGGCGGCGUGCUUAACACAUGCAAGUCGAACGGUAAGGCCCUUCGGGGUACACGAGUGGCGAACGGGUGAGUAACACGUGGGUGAUCUGCCCUGCACUUCGGGAUAAGCCUGGGAAACUGGGUCUAAUACCGGAUAGGACCCUGGGAUGCGUGUCCUGGGGGGGAAAGCUUUUGCGGUGUGGGAUGGGCCCGCGGCCUAUCAGCUUGUUGGUAGGGUGAUGGCCUACCAAGGCGACGACGGGUAGCCGGCCUGAGAGGGUGACCGGCCACACUGGGACUGAGAUACGGCCCAGACUCCUACGGGAGGCAGCAGUGGGGAAUAUUGCACAAUGGGCGCAAGCCUGAUGCAGCGACGCCGCGUGAGGGAUGACGGCCUUCGGGUUGUAAACCUCUUUCAGCACCGACGAAGCGCAAGUGACGGUAGGUGCAGAAGAAGGACCGGCCAACUACGUGCCAGCCGCCGCCGUAA